ACCAACAAAGCGCCGCACUCAGACGACGAAAUCACAAAACAAGAAAAACAAAACUAAAAAACUUAAUUUAUGUGAAAUCACUUAUUUAAAUGGAAAGAAAAUAAAAAAACAACUUAGAGGGGUGAUUUUGAGUCAAAAAUUGACCCAAAAACCACCCCUCCUUGGUGGAUGAUGAAGAAGAAAAGCAAAAUAGGGUUAGAAGAGAGGGGGA
This 211-nucleotide long non-coding RNA is filed under the name Trifolium pratense (red clover). RNAcentral's name for it is "long non-coding RNA (TPRA_LNC001278)". Lineage: Eukaryota; Viridiplantae; Streptophyta; Magnoliopsida; Fabales; Fabaceae. The record is from RNAcentral.